RNAcentral lists this long non-coding RNA (1285 nucleotides) under Anas platyrhynchos platyrhynchos (common mallard). RNAcentral's name for it is "lncRNA (ENSAPLG00000028223.1)". Lineage: Eukaryota; Metazoa; Chordata; Aves; Anseriformes; Anatidae. The record is from RNAcentral.
GCCUUGUAAUCUGCAGGAGAAGAUGUAAUGUCUCCCAGAGGCUGAUUUUCACUGCCUGGCUCCUUCUAAGUCUGCACCCCCCUGGGAGUCAGAAUUUGGGUCCCUAAAGGGGGCAGACACGAGGUGGCUGCUCUGGGGUUUGCACAACCUGCAUCUCCCCGCUGGCAGCCGCAGCAUCCCCCAGAGCAGUGGUGCUGGCUGCUCCUCGUCUCUGCCUUAAUCACCCUGCGACGUUACAGGCAUCAUUAAUAUCCGUGCACCCAGAUGGCUCCCAGCCGCCGUGCCCGGCUCCCCAUCAAAGCCGUGUGCUCAGACCAACUGGCUGCACUGGGAAUUGUCUGGGAGACGUGAGAGGAGCAGGGAGACGCUGCAGACUCUUUCCAGCAGCAAACACCCAGGCUGCAAGCUGCUGAAACCCAUGCAAGCGCUGCCACUACUGGCAAUAAUCUUUGGAUGGGGCUUUAAUACUGAAAAAUGGGGAUUUCAUUCCAGAACCCCAUUGUGCUUGUGAAACAGAUUCUCUCUGAUCCGAUUCAUAUUUAAUUUAUUUAUCCAGAUGAGGAACGCAUCAAGAGGAGGGCACGAGGAUGGAUAGGCACGAGGACCAGGCUGCAGGGCCCCGCUCUGCCUCCUUGCCCUGCCCUCAUCAAGCAUCCUUUCUCCCCACUAAGAUGCCUGCAAUGGGGCACGUGCCUGUCUGCCUGCUCAAGGAAAUGCAGCAAGUCUCUCAGCAGGGCAAAUACGAACAGAUGGGGAAUCUUGCAUCAUCCGAAUUUCAGGAGAAACGUAAGUAACUUGAAAUGGAAAAUACCUGCAAGAGACCCAGUAUUUGCAGCUGUGCCAUGGAACAUCAAGAGCAAUGGAAGGCUGACCUCCAAGGCUUUCAGUAAUAUUAAUAAAUUGUCACUCUUUGAAAGCCCUGUUGGCACUGCAUUCUCUUCCUUGCAGUCAUUUAAGCAGUUUCUACAUAAUGAAAAUUAUAGCACCACAUAGUGCUUAAUGAAAACACCUGGUGCCUGCAUCUAACUGCUCCUAUUGUAGCCAAACAUCUCAGGAUAUUUACAGAGAUGGGUUGACACCGAGGUUCUCCUUGAUGAGGAAAUCAUCAGAGGCUGCAGGCAAGAUGUACAAAGCUAGGCUCUCCUCUCUGCUCGGGAAGAAGUGGCAGCUGCUGGUUUAAUCAAGGAGAGCUAGGGUGCAUGCACACGCCUUGAGGCACUCACCUGUGGGACAGCUCAAACCAGGGUGGUUUGGGAACCAUCUGUGCCACCACCUCCCUGAGAGG